This is a long non-coding RNA of Sinocyclocheilus rhinocerous, 331 nucleotides long. RefSeq lists it as uncharacterized. NCBI's taxonomy places the organism in Eukaryota, Metazoa, Chordata, Actinopteri, Cypriniformes, Cyprinidae. The transcript is spliced from 3 exons. The record is from RefSeq and is a predicted model, not a curated record.
AUGUGAGGGGGUGUGGUCACAUGUAAGGGGGUGUGGUCAGAGAGUGAGGGGCAUGUCAAUGUGAAGUGUUGUCAUGUGUAAGGGGUGUGGUCAGGCUCACCUGUGUGAUUGGCAUGUGUGAUGAUUUGUGUUUAGAGUGUAAGGGGGUGUGGUCAGAGAGGGGUGUGGUCAGGGAGUGAGAGGGUGUGGUCAGGUUUACUUGAGUGAUCGACUGUAUAUGAUGAUUUGUGUUUAGAGUGUAAGGAGGUGUGGUCAGAGAGUGAGAGGCGUGUCAGUGUGAGGUGUUGUCAUGUGUAAGGGGUGUGGUCAGAAUGUGAGGGGGUGUGGUCAG